RNAcentral lists this small RNA (473 nucleotides) under Oryza sativa Japonica Group (Japanese rice). Its description in RNAcentral is "sRNA Os02g0523201". The record is from RNAcentral. Lineage: Eukaryota; Viridiplantae; Streptophyta; Magnoliopsida; Poales; Poaceae.
AAUUUUCCGUUUUUUAUGGAUCUCGAGAUCGACAAUGCAUGGAGGAGAGCAGUAUCCACGCCGCCGCCUCCUCCAUAGCAGUUCUACGCCUUCGUCGUCUCUUCCACCGUGCAGCCCCUUGUCCCAAUCCUCCACGGCGGCCUGCGGUCCGGGACUGAAGUGCUGACAUCCAGUUUGCAGCGGCGGCGAGGAGGAGAGGCGACGGUCAUGGCGCUCGGUAGAGCAGUUGAAUGUCCAGGGAGGAGUGACGGCAAGGAUGGCUUCACGGUGGUGACGACGAUAAUGAGGCAAAGCACAGAUUCUGGGGAGACUUGGCACAGCAAGCCAAAGUUUGCGCAUGUUUCAAACGGAAUGUUGAGAAGCAUCGAUUUAAUAGUAAUUUAGUUACUAAGAGACAAUAUGUUGUUGAACUAUCAGUGUAAUAGUAACUUGGUUACUAUGAGAAACUUUGUGGCAAGAUCAAUAUGUUAUGU